RNAcentral lists this ribosomal RNA (301 nucleotides) under uncultured bacterium. RNAcentral describes it as "partial 16S ribosomal RNA". It matches the Rfam family "Bacterial small subunit ribosomal RNA", at positions 509 to 807 of the family's 1533-position model. The record is from RNAcentral.
CAGCCGCCACGGGAAUACGUAGGGUGCAAGCGUUAAUCGGAAUUACUGGGCGUAAAGCGUGCGCAGGCGGUUCUAUAAGACAGAUGUGAAAUCCCCGGGCUCAACCUGGGAACUGCAUUUGUGACUGUAGAGCUGGAGUGCGGCAGAGGGGGAUGGGAUUCCGCGUGUAGCAGUGAAAUGCGUAGAUAUGCGGAGGAACACCGAUGGCGAAGGCAAUCCCCUGGGCCUGCACUGACGCUCAUGCACGAAAGCGUGGGGAGCGAACAGGAUUAGAUACCCCUGUAGUCCCUGUCUCUUAUAC